UGAGAGACUCCCCCGCCGAAAGACCAAGGGUUCCUGCUUAAAGUUAAUCUGAGCAGGGUUAGCCGGCCCCUAAGACGAGGCGGAAACGCGUAGUCGAUGGGAACCACGUUAAUAUUCGUGGGCCUGUGGGUAGUGACGGAUUGCACAAGUUGUUCGACCUUAUUGGAUUGGUCGGGCAGCGGAGCGGUUCCAGGAAAUAGCUCCCACUUAUAGACCGUACCCGAAACCGACACUGGUGGUCAGGUAGAGUAUACCAAGGCGCUUGAGAGAACUAUGUUGAAGGAACUCGGCAAUUUACCUCCGUAACUUCGGGAUAAGGAGGCCUCUGUCUUGGGCAACCAGGGCAGAGGGGCACAGACCAGGGGGUGGCGACUGUUUAUCUAAAACACAGGGCUCUGCGAAGUCUGUAAGACGACGUA
Molecule: ribosomal RNA, 419 nt
Filed under: Gloeochaete wittrockiana
Lineage: Eukaryota; Glaucocystophyceae; Gloeochaetales; Gloeochaetaceae
Description: partial Bacterial large subunit ribosomal RNA
Rfam family: Bacterial large subunit ribosomal RNA
Source: RNAcentral